Molecule: ribosomal RNA, 273 nt
Filed under: uncultured bacterium
Lineage: Bacteria
Description: partial 16S ribosomal RNA
Rfam family: Bacterial small subunit ribosomal RNA
Source: RNAcentral
UACGGAGGGGGCUAGCGUUGUUCGGAAUUACUGGGCGUAAAGCGCACGUAGGCGGCUUUGUAAGUUAGAGGUGAAAGCCCAGGGCUUAACCCUGGAAUUGCCUUUAAGACUGCAUCGCUAGAAUCGUGGAGAGGUAAGUGGAAUUCCGAGUGUAGAGGUGAAAUUCGUAGAUAUUCGGAAGAACACCAGUGGCGAAGGCGACUUACUGGACACGUAUUGACGCUGAGGUGCGAAAGCGUGGGGAGCAAACAGGAUUAGAUACCCCGGUAGUCC